This 497-nucleotide ribosomal RNA is filed under the name uncultured bacterium. RNAcentral's name for it is "partial 16S ribosomal RNA". It matches the Rfam family "Bacterial small subunit ribosomal RNA", at positions 28 to 507 of the family's 1533-position model. The record is from RNAcentral.
GACGAACGCUGGCGGCGUGCCUAAUACAUGCAAGUUGAGCGCUGAAGGUUGGUACUUGUACCAACUGGAUGAGCAGCGAACGGGUGAGUAAAGCGUGGGGAAUCUGCCUUUGAGCGGGGGACAACAUUUGGAAACGAAUGCUAAUACCGCAUAAAAACUUUAAACACAAGUUUUAAGUUUGAAAGAUGCAAUUGCAUCACUCAAAGAUGAUCCCGCGUUGUAUUAGCUAGUUGGUGAGGUAAAGGCUCACCAAGGCGAUGAUACAUAGCCGACCUGAGAGGGUGAUCGGCCACAUUGGGACUGAGACACGGCCCAAACUCCUACGGGAGGCAGCAGUAGGGAAUCUUCGGCAAUGGACGAAAGUCUGGCCGAGCAACGCCGCGUGAGUGAAGAAGGUUUUCGGAUCGUAAAACUCUGUUGGUAGAGAAGAACGUUGGUGAGAGUGGAAAGCUCAUCAAGUGACGGUAACUACCCAGAAAGGGACGGCUAACUACGUG